UACGGGAGGCAGCAGUGGGGAAUAUUGCACAAUGGGCGAAAGCCUGAUGCAGCUAUGCCGCGUGUAUGAAGAAGGCCUUAGGGUUGUAAAGUACUUUCAUCGGGGAGGAAAAAACAAAACUAAUAAUUUUAUUUCUUGACGUUACCCGAAAAAGAAGCACCGGCUAACUCCGUGCCAGCAGCCGCGGUAAUACGGAGGGUGCUAGCGUUAAUCAGAAUUACUGGGCGUAAAGAGCACGUAGGUGGUUUUUUUAAAGUCAGAUGUGAAAUCCCUGGGCUUAACCUAGGAACUGCAUUUUGAAACUGAAAUACUAGAGUAUCGUAGAGGGAGGUAGAAUUCUAGGUGUAGCGGUGAAAUGCGUAGAUAUCUGGAGGAAUACCUGUGGCGAAAGCGGCCUCCUAAACGAAUACUGACACUGAGGUGCGAAAGCGUGGGGAGCAAACAGGGAUUAGAU
RNAcentral lists this ribosomal RNA (454 nucleotides) under uncultured bacterium. Its description in RNAcentral is "bacterial SSU rRNA". It matches the Rfam family "Bacterial small subunit ribosomal RNA", at positions 340 to 783 of the family's 1533-position model. The record is from RNAcentral.